UGGUGCGAUCAUACCAGCACUAAUACACUGGAUCCCAUCAGAACUUUGCAGUUAAACGUGCUUGGGUGAGAGUAGUACUAGGAUGGUUGACCUCCUGGAAGUCCUCAUGUUGCAUCCC
Molecule: ribosomal RNA, 118 nt
Filed under: Salix viminalis (osier)
Lineage: Eukaryota; Viridiplantae; Streptophyta; Magnoliopsida; Malpighiales; Salicaceae
Source: RNAcentral